CUCCUUGGCUCGGAGUCUGCAUGGUUCUGAAGGAGUUCCCCCCACUCUGUGCUGCACCCUGGAAACUCAAGGCCAUAAGGUUUUUUCAUACAACAAAAGUAUUAUCUGCAAAUAUUAUAAGUUAAGGAAAUUAAUGAGGAGAAGGUGCCAUCCUUUCUGCAACCUCUCAGGAACAGGGUGACUGCAGGCGACAGCAAAGCAAUGCCCAUGCAGAGGGCCAAGCAUACCAAAAUUCUUGUUGCGAACAAAAGAAUGUGUCUAGAUCUUACACCCCAGCAAUAUGGAUGGCAAAGUUGACGUCAUGAACGUUUGAAGAUGAACUUUGGGUCUACAUAGGAGGAAAACCUGCAGAUAGAGCCCAGCCUUGACUUUCACCAGUAUCCAUUUUGUAACUCUAUAUAUCCUGAUUCUCAUUUUCCUACAUUGAAUUAUUUCUGGAAAGAAAUGUGCCCCAGGGGUCUAAUGUUCUGCCAGGAUGGAGAGGUGGGGCCAAAUGCAGCUUUUCUCCUUGACUUCAAUCUGUCAAGGUGUUCAGUUCUCAGAGUUGCUCCACGACUAAGAGAACUGGAAGGUCUCGGUGUUCCUUAUUAGGAAUUUCUCAGAUCCUUGAGAGCCUGAGGCACACACCCAACUCAUUUUGAAAUAAAGCUAAACUUGAAUUUUGAUCAUCAACUUCAUUUUUUUUAUUGUUUAUUUUCUAUGUGGCCUUCUAUCUCCAGCUUCAUAUAAUCAGAAAGCAAUAGAACUUUCAUACUAAGAAGAAAAUAAAAUAUGAUCUUGAAUUUGAUAAAGAAAAUAAGCAGUUUGCCUGGAUCCUUCUAUAAUUUGUUCAAUGAAUUAAUUCUCUCCAUAACAGGUAGGGCCAAUGCUGGUGAUGACAGAUUGUCUAGCUGCAAAUAAACAUCAAAAUGCAAAGGAAGAUAUUGAUUGUAUUUAUUGUGCUGAUCAUUUAUGACAUAUGCGAAUGUCAAAUCAAUACAUUGUACAUCUGAAACUAAUAUAAUGUUACAUCAAUUCUACCUCAAUAAAAAAAUGUAAUGCAAAGGGAGAAUGGUAUUACACCUAAAGAGUUAAAGUACCAACAGGCUAUCUUUUCUUUAUGUUAUAAAUUUAAAAUUAUGUAUAUUUUUAAGGCCUCAGAAAAUGUUCAGUUAAUAUGUAGAAAGUUUAUAUGUUAGGCUCAAGGCUUUUUGUGUCACCCACUAACUGGGA
Long non-coding RNA from Pteropus alecto (black flying fox), 1212 nucleotides. RefSeq lists it as uncharacterized. The transcript is spliced from 3 exons. The record is from RefSeq and is a predicted model, not a curated record. Lineage: Eukaryota; Metazoa; Chordata; Mammalia; Chiroptera; Pteropodidae.